RNAcentral lists this long non-coding RNA (1476 nucleotides) under Ursus maritimus (polar bear). Its description in RNAcentral is "lncRNA (ENSUMAG00000007865.1)". The record is from RNAcentral. Lineage: Eukaryota; Metazoa; Chordata; Mammalia; Carnivora; Ursidae.
UGCCCACUUAUUUAUAAUCAGGAAAGAAAGCAGUAAACUUUUUAAGAAAAGAAUAUAGAGUUUCCGGAGAUUGAGCUGAGAAGUCCACGGACCUGAGAGACAUGAGGGGGACCCGGUCUGCCCAAGUUCAGGGGCUCCUCUUUGGUGGCCUGACAGAGGGGUCACCUCUCCGGCCACACUCGGUGGGAUUCUAACCCUGGGAAGGCGAGAAGAGCCCCAAAGUUGAGAUGGGGUGACCAGCUCGGACAGAAGCAGGCAGGCCCCCCUCCUGCCUCUUGGGUGGCCAAGUACGAGCAAAUGGAUGCCCAGCGUCAGAAACAAAGUCUGCAACGAGCACCAUCCUUUGUAGAGAGAAAGACUCCCUGAGUCCCUCCGCCUUCCCCGUCCAGCACAAAUCUGUCCUCCUACACUCUGCCUUUAAUUAAAGGGAAGCAGAGACCAGCAGUCCCUGUUACAAACCGGACGGGACUUGAGGGGUAUUCUUCAAAAGCUGCUCAGCCUCCCCCCAUUCCACAUAACCAAUCUCUGCUCCUGUAAGCCAAAUGUCUCAAGUUCAAAUGCCUACAGGGGCCAGGCACGCAGCAAAUGAAUGAAGAGUUCCAAGUCAAAGACAAUAGGGAGUGGUGGGGACUGGGGUCAUCUGAAGAUUUCAUGCCCCACCUGGAGGGAACGCUUUUACUCAGCUCCAGGCAAUUGUUGCCAUACAUGAACAAGGGCCUGCUGCCACCAGGUUUUUCUUUUUUCUUUCUUUCUUUUUUUUUUUUUUUUCAAGAAAAUCUGGAAGUCUAGACUUUUGACAGCAUUUCCUGGCAAUGUGUGGGGUUUUUUUCUUUUCAACAUUGUGCAGGUUAAUGAGUUGCUAGGAGUUUCUGCCCUGUUCUCAGCCUUCUUUUGGGAGACCACAUGCUGGGCAGUUCUGUUCUCCUCUGGCUUUGCAGCUCCCAGCUGGACCCUGGGCCAUGUCAGAGGGGGAGGCCACUUGGAGUGUAGCAGGGUGUGGGCUAACCAUCUCCCUUUGGAUUCUAGGUUCCUGGGCCUCCAGGGCCAGAGGGGCCCCCCGGACCUCCGGGGCUCCAAGGUGUUCCUGGACCAAAGGUAAGAAGACGUCAUGUGACAGGUGUGGGGGGUGGGGGAAGGGGCAGUGUCAGGGCCAAAAAGGAAAGUCCUUUGGAGACAGGUGGCCCAUCUGGUCCCUUUCCCUAAAUGGAAUCAUGUGACACUGGCCAGUGGCUACAACCAAGAGAGAAUGAAGUCCUUUUAACACCCACCAUUGACUGUAGGCAGUCUUCAGAUUUAGAGCUGUCCCGUCCAUUAAUCCACCCCACUAGCGAUGGAUUGGAUUCUUAGCAAACGACGAAAUCCUUUUCCAAGUAACCUGCCCCAGACAUUUCACUCACCCUGAAGUAGAGGUGGAGAGAGAGAGGGGUGUACUGUGGGCCCCCUCCCCAGGUCCAGGCCCAUCAGUCUCUGGCCUGG